Molecule: RNase P RNA, 377 nt
Filed under: Deltaproteobacteria bacterium
Lineage: Bacteria; Pseudomonadati; Myxococcota; Myxococcia
Description: RNase P RNA component class A
Rfam family: Bacterial RNase P class A
About the family: Ribonuclease P (RNase P) is a ubiquitous endoribonuclease, found in archaea, bacteria and eukarya as well as chloroplasts and mitochondria.
Source: RNAcentral
CCCGGCCGGCCAGACGACCGCCGGGUCCGAAAGGACCGGGAGGAAAGUCCGGGCUCCACAGGGCGCGGUGCUGGGUAACUCCCAGCGGGGGUAACCCCGGGAAAGCGCAACAGAAAGAAAACCGCCUUCGUCUUUUAGACAAGGUAAGGGUGAAACGGCGAGGUAAUAGCUCACCGGCCGAUCAGGUGACUGGUCGGGCCAGGCAAGCCCCACCGGGAGCAAGACCAAAUAGGGGGACGCAGGCGGCCCGCUUAGUCCCCGGGUUGGUUGCUUGAACUCCGGGGUAACCCGGAGUCUAGAGGAAUGGUCGUCGUCGUCUGGGUUGGUCGGGACCGACCCAGAAGUCACAGAACCCGGCUUACCGGCCGCCGGGCUGC